GUUUGGUUUAAGGUCGUUAGUCGUACUAACGAACUAGAGGAGACGGCGUACGGGUAGGCGGAACGAUGUGUGUCAUACUGUCCUACUCAAGGGAGUAGCCGACGAAUACCGGACUUAAUACCCUAUAACAUAUGGGAUGGCAUCAUUUCAUAUUAAAGACUACGGCGGAUAAGGAUGAGCACGCACAAGAUUAGCUAGUUGGUAAGGUAACGGCGUUACCAAGGCGACGAUCUUUAGGGGGCCUGAGAGGGUGAUCCCCCACACUGGGACUGAGACACGGCCCAGACUCCUACGGGAGGCAGCAGUGAGGAAUAUUGGACAAUGGGUGAAAGCCUGAUCCAGCCAUCCCGCGUGCAGGACGACUGCCCUAUGGGUUGUAAACUGCUUUUAUAUAGGGAUAAACCUACUCUCGUGAGAGUAGCUGAAGGUACUAUAUGAAUAAGCACCGGCUAACUCCGUG
RNAcentral lists this ribosomal RNA (460 nucleotides) under uncultured Flavobacteriaceae bacterium. Its description in RNAcentral is "bacterial SSU rRNA". It matches the Rfam family "Bacterial small subunit ribosomal RNA", at positions 41 to 507 of the family's 1533-position model. Lineage: Bacteria; Pseudomonadati; Bacteroidota; Flavobacteriia; Flavobacteriales; Flavobacteriaceae. The record is from RNAcentral.